AUGUGCCAGGGGACCGUUAUAUUGAGAAGCAAUAGAAACCGUGCUGAUAAUGCCUUGGGUAUGGAAGAAAGUCAUGAGAAAGACCACCCUCUCCUGUGUGCUCAUCACCAUCACCACCAUCACUGCUACCAUCACCCCAAAAAAGGAAGCAUAAUUUUGUUGGGGGUAAACUUGCAUAUCCAAAAGAGUUACUUGCUCUCUUCCUCUCAAUCCAAACCAAUUAUACUGUUACAGCAAAUACUCGGCACCCAGGAAGAGCUAAGUGACAAGCACUCAGGGAAUCAGAGAAGACUGUUUAUUUCACACCUGUGCCGGCCCAACGGAGUCACCUCCAAAGGCGGAGCGCCCAGCUCAAGUUUUACUGAUCUUUUAUACAUAUGUGCUUCUGGGUUGGGCAGAACUAGUAUAGUGAAGCUUCUGGUUCCUAGCUGCUGGCUGAUGCAAGAGGCAAGCAAGAUUGCAGAAGCCAAAAGCACAGAAGGGGAGUAUCCAGCCUCGGACAUCUGGCUGCCCCUUUUUAUUUGCAUUUACCAGCUUUCCUCCACAGUACUAUAGUACUUAACUUUUUGAUUUUUCAAAAAUCCUUCUCAUCCUUAAGCUAAGGCCCUGACAUACCAAAGAGAAACUGAAUCUCAAGGAGAGUAACUGUUUCGAGAAAUGUGCCUUGGCACUGGGGUUGGUGAUUGGAAGAAGCCAAAAUAACAUGGCAGCCAAGGACCUUCUCUCUCAGAUGGGGAACGUCAAAGAUUUUCUGCUAAUACAUCUGGGUGCAGAGACACAACAUGUAAAACUUUUAGCUUCAUGAAGAAACCAACAUGCAAAGACCUCCUCCGAAAGAGACUCAAAGGCAACGAUCCAACGAAAAGAAGAUUUUAUAACAAAGGCUAAUUUUCAUCUAUUGUUGAUAGUUUCUUGGGACACUGUAUUGAAAGGGUUUUAGUUUUGUUUUGUUUAAAGUUAAACGAGAGACUGGAAUACAAACGCAUCACACAUGCGGUGAUUUGUUGUUACUGCACACACACUGGGGAGGAGAAUGGAAACCUUUCCACUGUUAUUUACCAUCAACAUCCCUCUUCACGCCCCUCCUAGAAAGCAGGUGUGUCUGAUAAACCCACAGUUAUACGUGAUCACAUCCUAAUGCACGAGCAUCCCAGGCUUAAUAUCAUCUUCUGAGAACCAGGAAACCCAUUACUAACAUGCUCGUUAUUGGUUCACAUUACCAAACCAUACAAGACCAGAGGUAACUUGAACAAAGGUCUUAAACACCAUCCGGAUACACCAUCUCUCAUCUCUGCUUCUCUUAGCUGUGUCUGCUUUAUUCUCCGAAACCCACCUUCUCCAUGCCUCUGGCUGCGCCUACAGGAAGCGUUAAAGUCACAC
Molecule: long non-coding RNA, 1380 nt
Filed under: Felis catus (domestic cat)
Lineage: Eukaryota; Metazoa; Chordata; Mammalia; Carnivora; Felidae
Description: lncRNA (ENSFCAG00000052197.1)
Source: RNAcentral